GGGCCCGCACAAGCGGUGGAGCAUGUGGUUUAAUUCGAUGAUACGCGAGGAACCUUACCAGGGCUUAAAUGUAAGUUGCAUGGAUCAGAGAUGAUCCUUUCUUCGGACUACUUACAAGGUGCUGCAUGGUUGUCGUCAGCUCGUGCCGUGAGGUGUCAGGUUAAGUCCUAUAACGAGCGCAACCCCUAUCGUUAGUUGCCAGCAAGUAAAGUUGGGUACUCUAGCGAGACUGCCGGUGCAAACCGAGAGGAAGGUGGGGAUGACGUCAAAUCAUCACGGCCCUUACGUCCUGGCUACACACGUGCUACAAUGGCCGGUACAGAGAGCAGCCACCACGCGAGUGG
This 344-nucleotide ribosomal RNA is filed under the name uncultured bacterium. RNAcentral describes it as "bacterial SSU rRNA". It matches the Rfam family "Bacterial small subunit ribosomal RNA", at positions 917 to 1264 of the family's 1533-position model. The record is from RNAcentral.